RNAcentral lists this long non-coding RNA (1545 nucleotides) under Danio rerio (zebrafish). RNAcentral describes it as "lncRNA si:ch211-209o12.2 (ENSDARG00000097514.3)". Lineage: Eukaryota; Metazoa; Chordata; Actinopteri; Cypriniformes; Danionidae. The record is from RNAcentral.
UUAGUUUUAUGAACGAAAUUAGAUGUCGGGACGUUUUGUUAAAAGCGGCAUAUGUCGUCGCAUACCGCUUUUUUUUUUGGCAAUUGCACAUAAUACAAUGAGCAACGCUAUAGCCUAUUCGGUUCAUCAAAAUGCGCUUUUUACCCUAUACAUGGAUGUGUACAGCUCAGCGCGCAGUCGGACAGAAGGCCGAGCAGCUUAAGUGGGAAAACGUCCAGCUUUACCGGAAGAUUGACUGGCCGAUUUUGAGGAGCAGGGAAACUCCAUCCAUAUUGAAGCACAUCUGGGCAUGGAUUGGAGAGGCCUGCUGUGCUGCUGCCCACACACCGCUGCAGUGACGCGCUUUGGCCGCCGGAGGGCAGCGCGGGACUGGAACCCACUGCCUGUGGAGGAAGGGAAGGUGCCGAGGAGCGAGGCGGUUGUGUGAGAUCGCCGGACUACAGUUCAUCUCACGGGUCAGCGCAUAUUUUAAACAGCCUUUAUUACCCUAACCCAGACCCCCGUUCCCCCCCCCCAUCCCAUUUCUAAAUCCGUUUACUGAGGGUCUUUUAUAAGCAGAAAUGUGAAAAGUGCUGACUGCUAUUCCCAUUUUGAGGAUAUCUGACUUCAUCAAAUUACAGUUGGGUUUUUGAAUAUUUCAUAUUUGAUCAAAAGCCCUUUACAAGCGCUGCACACACACUCUCGGGCCCACAUGGGGCAUGAUCAAUUUUUAAAACUCCAAUCAUUAUGCACACAUUGACCCACAAUGCCCACUUUAAUUCGGCUAUUUAUUAAGAAACCUUCGCACCAUUUUCACUUGUAUUAUUUCAAAGGUGCCUUUAAUGAACGCCUGGAGUGUAGCAUUAGCCUACUGUGCUAUAAGUUUGGGGCUUGCUUGUAAGCGCUCUUGUUGCUAUCGAACCGCACAGCACUGCCGUUCCCCUUUUAACCCCCCAUCUAAAACACUUUAAAAUUGCCAGCCUAGGACGGAGGCCAAUAUUGGCCUUGGCUGUACCUUGAAUAAUGAAUAAUUCAUCUCUUUGACCUUUAGCUGAAGUUUAUUGGAGGGUGAAGGCGUCCUGCUGGCCUGCCUGCUGCCUGGCCCAGCUUGAGCUCUGUUUCCCCUCUCAGUCAUGUCCCCUUCCAUAUCCUCGCCUUCCCUUGCUGUCGCCAACUGAGGUGUGAGGACACAAAAUGUCUUGACCAUCAAAGUUCCUCGCCGUGUCUCGGUCUUAUGUUUUGACUUGUUUUGAAGGUCAGGUUUGUUACGUCCACUUAUAUUAAACAUAACCCCUGACCCGCUUGGUAUCGUGGGAUCUUCCACCUGCUGUAUGUCUACACGCUGAAACAUAUUGUAUGGAAAAGCAUAGUGCCGAGUGACAGUGAGUGAUUGCUCUGAAUUGGUUGCGCGCUUGUAGAACUACUCCGUUUUCAAUUAAUCCUCUAUCCCGGCAUCCCAUCGGUCCCACGAGCUCUUUCGUAAAGAAAUGGCUGACUGGACUGUUUUACCUGUCGCCUUAGGCUGGUGCUAAAUGUCAUUGACAUUAAAUUCCCUUUGUUAAGUCU